This 422-nucleotide ribosomal RNA is filed under the name uncultured eukaryote. RNAcentral describes it as "eukaryotic LSU rRNA". It matches the Rfam family "Eukaryotic large subunit ribosomal RNA", at positions 828 to 1238 of the family's 3401-position model. The record is from RNAcentral.
GAACUAUGCUUAGAACAGAGUGAAGUCAGGGGGAAAACUCUGGUGGAGGCUCGUAGCGAUACUGACGUGCAAAUCGUUCGUCUGAUUUGAGUAUAGGGGCGAAAGACUAAUCGAAUCAUCUGGUAGCUUGGUUUUCUCCGAAAUUUCCCCUCAGGAUAGCUGACAUUGAUAAUGUACAAUUUUAUAACGUAAAGCGCAUGAUUAGAAGUAUCUGGGUUGAAAUAAUUUAGACUGAUUCUCAAACUUUGAAGUCGUAAGAAUUAAUAGUACCAUUUUGAUCUAUACUAUUAAUUAAAUGGAACAAUGUUUAGUGGGCCAUUUUGGUAAGCAGAACUGGCGAUGCGGGAUGAACCGAAAGUUAAGUUAAAGUGUCGAAAUAUAAGCUAAUUUAGAUAUCAUAAAAGGUGUUGAUUUAUAUAGAC